GCGUGAGCGAAGAAGGCCUUCGGGUCGUAAAGCUCUUUACGUAUGGGACGAUAAUGACGGGACCUGCAAGGAAGCCGCGUGUUAUCCGUGCCAGACGCGCGAAUAUACAUGGGGGGAUAGCGGUCCGCAAUUUUUGUGGGCGUAAAGCACGCGUGCGCGUAUUCUCAAGUCAGAGGAGAAACCCGGGCUCUCCGCUCGAAGUUGCCUUUGACUAUAUAUGGCUUGAAGAUGAGAGAAGAAUGUGGAAUUUGGAGUGUAGAGGAGAAAUUCAUAGAUCUUCAGAAAAACCCCAGUGGAGAAAGCGGCUUACUGGACCAUUUGUGGCUGUGGGGUGCCAAAGCGUGGAGAGCAAACGAGUUUAUAUACCGU
This 369-nucleotide ribosomal RNA is filed under the name uncultured bacterium. RNAcentral describes it as "bacterial SSU rRNA". It matches the Rfam family "Bacterial small subunit ribosomal RNA", at positions 399 to 788 of the family's 1533-position model. The record is from RNAcentral.